RNAcentral lists this ribosomal RNA (440 nucleotides) under uncultured bacterium. RNAcentral's name for it is "partial 16S ribosomal RNA". It matches the Rfam family "Bacterial small subunit ribosomal RNA", at positions 338 to 795 of the family's 1533-position model. The record is from RNAcentral.
CCUACGGGAGGCAGCAGUGGGGAAUAUUGCACAAUGGGGGAAACCCUGAUGCAGCGACGCCGCGUGAGUGAAGAAGUAUUUCGGUAUGUAAAGCUCUAUCAGCAGGGAAGAAACUGACGGUACCUGACUAAGAAGCCCCGGCUAACUACGUGCCAGCAGCCGCGGUAAUACGUAGGGGGCAAGCGUUAUCCGGAUUUACUGGGUGUAAAGGGAGCGUAGACGGCGGAACAAGUCAGAAGUGCAAACCCGGGGCUCAACCCUGGGAGUGCUUUUGAAACUGUUUGGCUGGAGUGCAGGAGAGGUAAGCGGAAUUCCUAGUGUAGCGGUGAAAUGCGUAGAUAUUAGGAGGAACACCAGUGGCGAAGGCGGCUUACUGAACAGUAACUGACGUUGAGGCUCGAAAGCGUGGGGAGCAAACAGGAUUAGAUACCCUUGUAGUC